This 425-nucleotide ribosomal RNA is filed under the name uncultured bacterium. Its description in RNAcentral is "bacterial SSU rRNA". It matches the Rfam family "Bacterial small subunit ribosomal RNA", at positions 354 to 796 of the family's 1533-position model. The record is from RNAcentral.
GUGGGGAAUCUUGGACAAUGGGGGCAACCCUGAUCCAGCGACGCCGCGUGGGUGACGAAGGCCUUCGGGUUGUAAAGCCCUUUUGUCGGGGACGAUGAUGACGGUACCCGGCGAAUCAGCACCGGCUAACUCCGUGCCAGCAGCCGCGGUAAGACGGAGGGUGCUAGCGUUGUUCGGAUUUACUGGGCGUAAAGGGCGCGUAGGCGGCCCUGUCAGUCGGGUGUGAAAGCCCGGGGCUCAACCCCGGAACGGCACCCGAGACGGCAGGGCUGGAGACCGGGAGAGGAGGGUGGAAUAGCCAGUGUAGAGGUGAAAUUCGUAGAUAUUGGCUGGAACACCGGUGGCGAAAGCGGCUCUCUGGCCCGGUUCUGACGCUGAGGCGCGAAAGCGUGGGGAGCAAACAGGAUUAGAUACCCGAGUAGUCC